AGAUCGUGCGCUAACCUUUUAGGAGGCAGCGAGCCACGGUGGGAUCAGCGACUGGGGUGAAGUCGAAACAAGGUAGCCGUAGGGGAACCUGCGGCUGGAUCACCUCCUU
Molecule: ribosomal RNA, 109 nt
Filed under: Nephroselmis pyriformis
Lineage: Eukaryota; Viridiplantae; Chlorophyta; Nephroselmidophyceae; Nephroselmidales; Nephroselmidaceae
Description: partial Bacterial small subunit ribosomal RNA
Rfam family: Bacterial small subunit ribosomal RNA
Source: RNAcentral